GAGGAUAGAGCUCAAUGGUAGAACAUGUGCUUAGCACGCACAGGGUCCUGGGUUGAAUCCCCAGUAUCUCCA
This 72-nucleotide transfer RNA is filed under the name Camelus bactrianus (Bactrian camel). It matches the Rfam family "tRNA". Rfam says of the family: Transfer RNA (tRNA) molecules are approximately 80 nucleotides in length. Their secondary structure includes four short double-helical elements and three loops (D, anti-codon, and T loops). Further hydrogen bonds mediate the characteristic L-shaped molecular structure. tRNAs have two regions of fundamental functional importance: the anti-codon, which is responsible for specific mRNA codon recognition, and the 3' end, to which the tRNAs corresponding amino acid is attached (by aminoacyl-tRNA synthetases). tRNAs cope with the degeneracy of the genetic code in two manners: having more than one tRNA (with a specific anti-codon) for a particular amino acid; and 'wobble' base-pairing, i.e. permitting non-standard base-pairing at the 3rd anti-codon position. Lineage: Eukaryota; Metazoa; Chordata; Mammalia; Artiodactyla; Camelidae. The record is from Rfam by way of RNAcentral. RNAcentral also lists the same sequence under 2 other names.